AACGCACAUUGCACUGUAUGGAAUUCCGGACAGUAUGUCUGUUUGAGCAUCAUUUCUCUAUCCUCCACUCAAUACCUGGGUCUUCUCAGGUCAUUUAGUGUAGGGACUUGAAGCGUAGCUGGCUCGCUCAGCUUGCUUCCAAAUAACCAGCAAACAGUUGGCGUAAGAAUCUCUACUGCAGCCGCUUGACGCGUUUGCUUCAACUUGACUGGGGCACGCCAUGCGCGUUCUCUGAACUUUGAUCUCAAAUCAGACAAGACUACCCGCUGAACUUAA
This 276-nucleotide unclassified non-coding RNA is filed under the name uncultured soil eukaryote. RNAcentral describes it as "sequence contains 5.8S rRNA gene, ITS2, 28S rRNA gene". The record is from RNAcentral.